AAACCAGCACCUCAAGUGGUCAGGAUGAUUAUUGGGCCUAAAGCAUCCGUAGCCGGCUCUGUAAGUUUUCGGUUAAAUCUGUACGCUCAACGUACAGGCUGCCGGAAAUACUGCAGAGCUAGGGAGUGAGAGAGGUAGACGGUACUCGGGAGGAAGGGGUAAAAUCCUUUGAUCUCUCGAUGACCACCUGUGGCGAAGGCGGUCUACCAGAACACGUCCGACGGUGAGGGAUGGAAGCUGGGGGAGCAAACCGAAUUAGAUACCCGAGUAGUCC
Molecule: ribosomal RNA, 274 nt
Filed under: uncultured bacterium
Lineage: Bacteria
Description: partial 16S ribosomal RNA
Rfam family: Archaeal small subunit ribosomal RNA
Source: RNAcentral